RNAcentral lists this long non-coding RNA (462 nucleotides) under Sus scrofa (pig). RNAcentral's name for it is "lncRNA (ENSSSCG00060008463.1)". The record is from RNAcentral. Lineage: Eukaryota; Metazoa; Chordata; Mammalia; Artiodactyla; Suidae.
GUGGCAGCCGCGCCGCUCCGGUCGCCGACGCUCCUCAGGGCCCCGCGGAGCCCCCUUGGCAGGACCACGCGGGCUGUGGUAUCCCCGGUGACCAAGGCCAUCUUCGUGGCUCUGUUCCUCUUGGCUGUGCUGCUCAUCCUCUACGUGAUCCUGUGGUACAUUUGCCGGGACGUGGACAACGACUACAUCUGAAGCAGCUCCUCCAGCAGCCUGUCACCUCCCAGGAAACGGAGUCACAGCUGAUUGGCUACCUCCGAUGUGCCAGGCGGUGUGGCGGCCCUUGACACGAUUCAGGAAUGAAACCCCAUGUUUGCCGGGGUUGAUUUGGGAGCCGAAGCCUGCAGCCGACACUUCACUGCCACCUUGGCAACUCUAGGUAAGGCACUAAGUCUGUAAAUAAUUUUGGGUUUGUUUUUUCCUUUUUUGGCUGCCCUGCACGUUUGGAGUUCCCAGGUCAGGGAU